GUGUGAAAUGAGGAAUAAUUGUUUCCCUAUUGGUUUGACUGCCGCUAUGAUGGCGUAUUAUUGCUUCAAACUUUCUGAUCACUC
Molecule: small nucleolar RNA, 84 nt
Filed under: Physcomitrium patens
Lineage: Eukaryota; Viridiplantae; Streptophyta; Bryopsida; Funariales; Funariaceae
Description: Physcomitrella patens Small nucleolar RNA Z102/R77
Rfam family: Small nucleolar RNA Z102/R77
About the family: Z102 and R77 and are members of the C/D class of snoRNA which contain the C (UGAUGA) and D (CUGA) box motifs.
Source: Rfam by way of RNAcentral